GUCCUCGUAGUAUAUAAAUACCUUGGUCUUGUAAACCAAAAAAGGAGAAUAUCCACCCUCCCUAGGACU
RNAcentral lists this transfer RNA (69 nucleotides) under Mungotictis decemlineata. RNAcentral's name for it is "tRNA-Thr". Lineage: Eukaryota; Metazoa; Chordata; Mammalia; Carnivora; Eupleridae. The record is from RNAcentral.